Long non-coding RNA from Ipomoea nil (Japanese morning glory), 144 nucleotides. RefSeq lists it as uncharacterized. The record is from RefSeq and is a predicted model, not a curated record. The transcript has 3 exons. NCBI's taxonomy places the organism in Eukaryota, Viridiplantae, Streptophyta, Magnoliopsida, Solanales, Convolvulaceae.
GUAAGAUAAUACCUCAAAAUGAAAUUCUAAACCUAUCAUAAAUUCCUUCCCUAAAAUCAUGCAUAACAACCAUAUAAAAUGCUAUACAUAUUUAAAACAAGUGUAAAUACCCCCAAUUACCCCUUUGAAAAUUACCGAAAUUAG